GUUUAUAUCUAAUGUAGGGGAUCUGACCGCACGUUAUCAGGACAGGCUCAGACAGCGCUAGGUUUAUAUCUAAUGUAGGGGAUCUGACCGCACGUUAUCAGGACAGGCUCAGACAGCGCUGGGUUUAUAUCUAAUGUAGGGGAUCUGACCGCACGUUAUCAGGACAGGCUCAGACAGCGCUGGGUUUAUAUCUAAUGUAGGGGAUCUGACCGCGCGUUAUCAGGACAGGCUCAGACAGCGCUGGGUUUAUAUCUAAUGUAGGGGAUCUGACCGCACGUUAUCAGGACAGGCUCAGACAGCGCUGGGUUUAUAUCUAAUGUAGG
Non-coding RNA from Pelobates cultripes (western spadefoot toad), 323 nucleotides. Lineage: Eukaryota; Metazoa; Chordata; Amphibia; Anura; Pelobatidae. The record is from the annotation of a GenBank genome assembly.